RNAcentral lists this ribosomal RNA (468 nucleotides) under uncultured bacterium. RNAcentral describes it as "partial 16S ribosomal RNA". It matches the Rfam family "Bacterial small subunit ribosomal RNA", at positions 28 to 507 of the family's 1533-position model. The record is from RNAcentral.
GACGAACGCUGGCGGCGUGCUUAACACAUGCAAGUCGAACGGAAAGGCCCUGCUUUUGUGGGGUGCUCGAGUGGCGAACGGGUGAGUAACACGUGAGUAACCUGCCCUUGACUUUGGGAUAACUUCAGGAAACUGGGGCUAAUACCGGAUAGGAGCUCCUGCUGCAUGGUGGGGGUUGGAAAGUUUCGGCGGUUGGGGAUGGAUUCGCGGCUUAUCAGCUGGUUGGUGGGGUAGUGGCUUACCAAGGCUUUGACGGGUAGCCGGCCUGAGAGGGUGACCGGCCUCAUGGGGACUGAGAUACGGACCAGACUCCUACGGGAGGCAGCAGUGGGGAAUAUUGCACAAUGGGCGGAAGCCUGAUGCAGCAACGCCGCGUGCGGGAUGACGGCCUUCGGGUUGUAAACCGCUUUCGCCUGUGACGAAGCGUGAGUGACGGUAAUGGGUAAAGAAGCACCGGCUAACUACGUG